CCAGACUCCUACGGGAGGCAGCAGUGGGGAAUAUUGGGCAAUGGGCGAAAGCCUGACCCAGCAACGCCGCGUGAAGGAAGAAGGCUUUCGGGUUGUAAACUUCUUUUCUGAGGGACGAAGAAAGUGACGGUACCUCAGGAAUAAGCCACGGCUAACUACGUGCCAGCAGCCGCGGUAAUACGUAGGUGGCAAGCGUUAUCCGGAUUUAUUGGGUGUAAAGGGCGUGUAGGCGGGAAAGCAAGUCAGAUGUGAAAACUCAGGGCUCAACCCUGAGCCUGCAUUUGAAACUGUUUUGCUUGAGUGCUGGAGAGGCAAUCGGGAUUCCGUGUGUAGCGGCGAAAUGCGUAGAUAUACGGAGGAACACCAGUGGCGAAGGCGGAUUGCUGGACAGUAACUGACGCUGAGGCGCGAAAGCGUGGGGAGCAAACAGGAUUAGAUACCCUCGUAA
Molecule: ribosomal RNA, 448 nt
Filed under: uncultured bacterium
Lineage: Bacteria
Description: bacterial SSU rRNA
Rfam family: Bacterial small subunit ribosomal RNA
Source: RNAcentral